AGAUCAGGAAAGACCACC
This 18-nucleotide ribosomal RNA is filed under the name Polytrichadelphus magellanicus. RNAcentral's name for it is "partial 26S ribosomal RNA". RNAcentral also lists the same sequence under 10 other names. The record is from RNAcentral. Lineage: Eukaryota; Viridiplantae; Streptophyta; Polytrichopsida; Polytrichales; Polytrichaceae.